Molecule: ribosomal RNA, 157 nt
Filed under: uncultured Actinomycetes bacterium
Lineage: Bacteria; Bacillati; Actinomycetota; Actinomycetes
Description: uncultured actinobacterium partial 16S ribosomal RNA
Rfam family: Bacterial small subunit ribosomal RNA
Source: RNAcentral
CGCGGCCCGCGUCCGUCCCGCCGCCCCCGCCCGCCUUCGGGAGGCAUCAGUAAUGAAUAUUACUCAAUGGGCGAAAGCCUGACGGAGCAACCCCGCGUGAGUGAAGAAGGUCUUCGGAUCGUAAAUCUCUGUCAACAAGGACGAAACACGUCGAUAC